UAAAUCCUUUUUGGAUGUUAUUUGUGUAUUUCUUGUCCGCUAUCGUUUUGUUUUUCUUGUAAAGGGAUUCGUAGAGGUGUUUUUUGAGGUCAAGAUAUAGAUAUAUUUUUUGAUAUAAAUAUAGGAAGAUGGUUUAAUUGUAUGUAUCAUCGGGAGNUAGAAG
RNAcentral lists this unclassified non-coding RNA (163 nucleotides) under Candidatus Liberibacter africanus subsp. capensis. Its description in RNAcentral is "intergenic spacer". Lineage: Bacteria; Pseudomonadati; Pseudomonadota; Alphaproteobacteria; Hyphomicrobiales; Rhizobiaceae. The record is from RNAcentral.